Molecule: small nuclear RNA, 132 nt
Organism: Equus asinus (donkey)
Lineage: Eukaryota; Metazoa; Chordata; Mammalia; Perissodactyla; Equidae
Gene: U4
Rfam family: U4 spliceosomal RNA
About the family: U4 small nuclear RNA (U4 snRNA) is a component of the major U2-dependent spliceosome. The structure of U4 snRNA from yeast and human has been reported. U4 snRNA presents a k-turn RNA motif in the 5p-SL related to recognition of Snu13 protein.
Source: Ensembl
AGCUUUGUGCAGUGGCAGUAUCACAGCCAAUGAGGUUUAUCCGAGGUGCCAUUAUUGCUAACUGAAAACAAAAAGAAAGUAACUGUUAGUUUCAGAGCCAUCUUUUUAAUAACAUCCACACCUAACAGUGUU